Molecule: ribosomal RNA, 307 nt
Filed under: uncultured bacterium
Lineage: Bacteria
Description: bacterial SSU rRNA
Rfam family: Bacterial small subunit ribosomal RNA
Source: RNAcentral
GACGAACGCUGGCGGCGUGCUUAACACAUGCAAGUCGAGCGGUAAGGCCCCUUCGGGGGUACACGAGCGGCGAACGGGUGAGUAACACGUGGGUGACCUGCCCUCAGCUCUGGGAUAAGCCUGGGAAACUGGGUCUAAUACCGGAUAUGACUCCAUGACGCAUGUCGUGGGGUGGAAAGCCUUGUGCGGCUGGGGAUGGGCCCGCGGCCUAUCAGCUUGUUGGUGGGGUGGAUGGCCUACCAAGGCGACGACGGGUAGCCGGCCUGAGAGGGCGACCGGCCACACUGGGACUGAGACACGGCCCAGA